UCUCCUCUCGUAAGGUAGACCUUCCAACAGAGGUUGUUGGUUUUUCCUGCUUCUAGUAUGUAUUGUUUCCUGCAUACACAAGAAACACACCCUAAAAGCACUUUUACAAAAAAAAAAUAAAACAAAGCAAUUAAAGAAAAAUAAAACAAAAUAAUUACAACCAAGUCAAAUUCAAUCAAUUCACACUACUAGAAAAAUAAACCUCGAGUCCCCGGCAACGACACCAAAAACUUGUUGACAAAUUGGCAAGUGUACCAAAUCGUACAAGUAACAUAAAUGGUAAGACCAAGUAUCGUUUUCCCAAG
Molecule: long non-coding RNA, 305 nt
Filed under: Vigna radiata
Lineage: Eukaryota; Viridiplantae; Streptophyta; Magnoliopsida; Fabales; Fabaceae
Description: long non-coding RNA (VRAD_LNC017404)
Source: RNAcentral